Molecule: long non-coding RNA, 777 nt
Organism: Anas platyrhynchos (mallard)
Lineage: Eukaryota; Metazoa; Chordata; Aves; Anseriformes; Anatidae
Source: RefSeq, a predicted model, not a curated record
UGUCCUGCGAGGCCUGCUGGGAGGGCUCGCUGUCCUGCUCCCAGACCGUGCCAGUGCCUGUGUUGGAGCGGGACAUGGUGGCCAGACUCAGGCGGUAUGCGGAGGUGGAGGUGCCCACGGUGCUCACAGACGUCUUCCCUUGAACAAAGCACAUAAAACCUCCUGCUGUGCAUAAGCAGCGGCUGCCAUCUUGUGGCAACAAGGGCGACUGUAACAGCAGACAUCCCCUCAUGGAAGGAAAGUGGUGAAAAAGCUUCAGUACCCUGCGAGCCCACUGGUAACAGUACAGAAAAUCAACAUAAGACCAAGAGGAGAAAGGAGGAGACAGAUCUGCUGCUGAACUACAAACAUACAUCCGUUUCUGCACAAGCAGCUCAAGAUUUACAGAGAUGUAGGAAUUUACCAGUGAUCACACUCUAUAGAAGAAAGCAAGGAGCAGGACUUAUGCCAGCCUAGUGGCAUGGAUUGGGCAGACAGCAAACCACAAGGGCACACAAUUUUGUGACCUCUGCUCCCCUCCGUGGCUUCUGCUACAACACAUUUGUCUUGCCCUGCACUCCAGUUUCAAAAGAAGGAGCACGUCUAUGAAAGACCUGACUCAAGAACCACGGCCCAGCUGAAACAAAGAGGAGAAACAACAACUUCUCCCAGUGGGAUUCUUUUCAGUCUCAGACCCAAAGGGCACUUAGCUGACACACUGUAAGUGACAGGAAACCAAAUUAAAAAAUAAUAAUAAUAACAAAAAAAAAGAUCAACAGAGAGCAGCGAAAGUGCAAA